GAGACUGUGAUGAUGCCGAAGUUUAUCCCAUUUCGAGUUUUGCGACCAUGAGAUGAAAAGAUCCAUGCACCUCCAUCUGAGCUCUG
Small nucleolar RNA from Dromiciops gliroides (monito del monte), 86 nucleotides. Lineage: Eukaryota; Metazoa; Chordata; Mammalia; Microbiotheria; Microbiotheriidae. The record is from RefSeq and is a predicted model, not a curated record.